UGUCCUUAUUUGCCAGCACGUAAAGGUGGGAACUUUAAGGAGACUGCCGGUGAUAAACCGGAGGAAGGUAGGGACGACGUCAAGUCAUCAUGGCCCUUAUGACCAGGGCUACACACGUGCUACAAUGGUCGGUACAAUGGGUUGCCAAACCGCGAGGUGGAGCUAAUCUCAUAAAACCGAUCCCAGUCCGGAUUGUAGUCUGCAACUCGACUACAUGAAGUCGGAAUCGCUAGUAAUCGUGGAUCAGAAUGCCACGGUGAAUACGUUCCCGGGUCUUGUACACACCGCCCGUCACACCAUGGAAGUUGAUUGCUCCAGAAGUAGGUAGCUUAAAAAUGGGCGCUUACCACGGAGUGGUCGAUGACUGGGGUGAAGUCGUAACAAGGUAGCCGUAGGGGAACCUGCGGCUGGAUCACCUCCUUUAAA
This 426-nucleotide ribosomal RNA is filed under the name Ignatzschineria ureiclastica. Its description in RNAcentral is "bacterial SSU rRNA". It matches the Rfam family "Bacterial small subunit ribosomal RNA", at positions 1106 to 1533 of the family's 1533-position model. The record is from RNAcentral. Lineage: Bacteria; Pseudomonadati; Pseudomonadota; Gammaproteobacteria; Cardiobacteriales; Ignatzschineriaceae.